This 536-nucleotide ribosomal RNA is filed under the name Leptodactylus mystaceus A. RNAcentral's name for it is "partial 16S ribosomal RNA". It matches the Rfam family "Bacterial large subunit ribosomal RNA", at positions 1900 to 2591 of the family's 2925-position model. Lineage: Eukaryota; Metazoa; Chordata; Amphibia; Anura; Leptodactylidae. The record is from RNAcentral.
UCCAGCCUGCCAGUGACUCUGUUCAACGGCCGCGGUAUCCUAACCGUGCGAAGGUAGCGUAAUCACUUGUUCUUUAAAUGAGGACUAGUAUGAAUGGCACCACGAGGGUUAUACUGUCUCCUUUUUCUAAUCAGUGAAACUAAUCUUCCCGUGAAGAAGCGGGAAUGAAAAUAUAAGACGAGAAGACCCUAUGGAGCUUUAAACAAAUAUACACCUGCCCCUUUACCAAAAAUUUCAGAAAACAAAUAACUACUCAGGCAUUUUGAUAUAACGUUUUAGGUUGGGGUGACCACGGAGCAAAAAACAACCUCCGCAGCGAACGGGAAUAUUCCCUAAACCAAGGGCUACAACCCCAAGUAUUGAUAAAUCAACACUAAUUGACCCAAUAAUUUGACCAAUGAACCAAGUUACCCUAGGGAUAACAGCGCAAUCCACUUCAAGAGCCCCUAUCGACAAGUGGGUUUACGACCUCGAUGUUGGAUCAGGGUAUCCCAGUGGUGCAGCCGCUACUAACGGUUCGUUUGUUCAACGAUUAA